This 466-nucleotide ribosomal RNA is filed under the name uncultured bacterium. Its description in RNAcentral is "partial 16S ribosomal RNA". The record is from RNAcentral.
GACUACAGGGGUAUCUAAGCCUGUUUGCUCCCCCAGCUUUCGUGCCUCAGCGUCAGUUGUCGUCCAGUGGGCCGCCUUCGCCUCCGGCGUUCUUCACAAUAUCAACGCAUUUCACUGCUACACCGUGAAUUCCGCCCACCUCUCCGACACUCAAGCCCCACAGUUUCGAAUGCAGUUCCACAGAUGAUCCGUGGGAUUUCACAUCCGACACAUGAGACCGCCUACGCACCCUUUACGCCCAGUAAAUCCGAACAACGCUUGCCACCUCUGUAUUACCGCGGCUGCUGGCACAGAGUUAGCCGUGGCUUCCUCUUGGGGUACUAUCACUGCGAAGUGUUAUUAAUACUCCGCUCGUUGCUCCCCCAUCACAGCAGUUUACAACCCGAAGGCCUUCAUCCUGCACGCGGCGUCGCAUCGUCAGGCUUGCGCCCAUUGCGAAUGAUUCUCGACUGCAGCCCCCCGUAGG